GGCGCUAUGGCGGAGUGGCCACGCGCCGGGCCGCAAGCCCGGAAACCCACGUUCGAAUCGUGGUGGCGCCUCCA
Molecule: transfer RNA, 74 nt
Filed under: Planctomycetota bacterium
Lineage: Bacteria; Pseudomonadati; Planctomycetota
Description: Planctomycetes bacterium (soil metagenome) tRNA-Cys
Rfam family: tRNA
About the family: Transfer RNA (tRNA) molecules are approximately 80 nucleotides in length. Their secondary structure includes four short double-helical elements and three loops (D, anti-codon, and T loops).
Source: RNAcentral